GUAUACUUACUAUUAUUAACUUCCAUUCUUUCCUAAAACAGAACCCUGGGGAAAAGCUGCAAUACCCUCCACUUCACAAACAUGCAGGGACUUGUACCGGAGUGUUAAUGAUCCCAAUGAGCCACCAGUGUUGUUCCAGUCUGACUUACCUGGAAGUGUAACUGACUUGUUUGAUGAAGCUCAUCCAUCCUGCAUAGUUAAAAGCAUUGCCAUAGACAAUGAUUCAAUACAAAGCCAAGAGAAACAGGGUGAGUCUUGGUUCGACAAAAUUGGAAUUUCCACACGCAAGUUGGCCUUUCUAAAUUGUUGGAAAGGUGUGAAAGAAGAUGCAACAGAGCUUGAAAGAGACAUUCAUGAACUUCAAAAUACUUGUUUAAAUGAAAGUUGUGGUCCAAAUGAUCUAGCCGAAUGUGAGGAGAAUGAUGGACAGCCUUAUAUACCAUAUCAGCUGGCAAAAAUGUACAUAACCAAGGUAGCCAACGAUAUGCAAAAAAUGAAAAUAAAACACAUGCAAAUCAUUAGUGAAAUAGAUGAUAAUUCAAAGAGGAAUCGGGUAAGG
Molecule: long non-coding RNA, 559 nt
Organism: Rana temporaria (common frog)
Lineage: Eukaryota; Metazoa; Chordata; Amphibia; Anura; Ranidae
Exons: 4
Source: RefSeq, a predicted model, not a curated record